GAUCCUGGCUCAGGAUGAACGCUGGCGGCGUGCCUAACACAUGCAAGUCGAGCGAAGCGGUUUUAAGGAAGUUUUCGGAUGGAAUUAAAACUGACUGAGCGGCGGACGGGUGAGUAACGCGUGGGUAACCUGCCUCAGUACAGGGGGAUAACAGUUAGAAUGGCUGCUAAUACCGCAUAAGCACGACAGCUUCGCAUGGAGCAGUGUGAAAAACUCCGGUGGUAUGAGAUGGACCCGCGU
This 240-nucleotide ribosomal RNA is filed under the name uncultured bacterium. RNAcentral describes it as "partial 16S ribosomal RNA". It matches the Rfam family "Bacterial small subunit ribosomal RNA", at positions 15 to 236 of the family's 1533-position model. The record is from RNAcentral.